RNAcentral lists this ribosomal RNA (454 nucleotides) under uncultured bacterium. RNAcentral's name for it is "bacterial SSU rRNA". It matches the Rfam family "Bacterial small subunit ribosomal RNA", at positions 29 to 476 of the family's 1533-position model. The record is from RNAcentral.
AAUGAACGCUGGCGGCGCGCCUAAUACAUGCAAGUCGAGCGAGAAGACGUAGCAAUACGUUUGUAAAGCGGCGAACGGGUGAGGAAUACAUGGGUAACCUACCCUCGAGUGGGGAAUAACUAGCCGAAAGGUUAGCUAAUACCGCGUACGCUCCUUGGACUUCGGUUCAGGGAGGAAAGCGAUACCGUGGGUAUCGCGCUCUUGGUUGGGCUCAUGUCCUAUCAGCUUGUUGGUGAGGAACGGCUCACCAAGGCUUCGACGGGUAGCUGGUCUGAGAGGACGAUCAGCCACACUGGCACUGCGACACGGGCCAGACUCCUACGGGAGGCAGCAGUAAGGAAUAUUGCGCAAUGGGCGAAAGCCUGACGCAGCGACGCCGCGUGGGGGAGUGGAGGUCUUCGGAUUGUAAACCCCUUUCGGGAGGGAAGAUGGAACGAGCAAUCGUUCGGACGGU